AGGUCUCAGUUCAGAUUGCAGGCUGCAACCCGCCUGCAUGAAGUCGGAAUUGCUAGUAAUCGCGGAUCAGCAUGCCGCGGUGAAUACGUUCCCGGGCCUUGUACACACCGCCCGUCACACCAUGGGAGCCGGUAAUACCCGAAGUCAGUAGUCCAACCUCGUGAGGACGCUGCCGAAGGUAGGAUUGGCCGACUGGGGUGAAGUCGUAACAAGGUAAC
RNAcentral lists this ribosomal RNA (218 nucleotides) under uncultured bacterium. RNAcentral's name for it is "partial 16S ribosomal RNA". It matches the Rfam family "Bacterial small subunit ribosomal RNA", at positions 1283 to 1500 of the family's 1533-position model. The record is from RNAcentral.